GAACGAACGCUGGCGGCAUGCCUAACACAUGCAAGUCGAACGAGACCUUCGGGUCUGGUGGCGCACGGGUGCGUAACGCGUGGGAACCUGCCCUUAGGUUCGGAAUAACUCCCCGAAAGGGGGGCUAAUACCGGAUAAUGUCGUCGGACCAAAGAUUUAUCGCCUUUGGAUGGGCCCGCGUUGGAUGAGCUAGUUGGUAGGGUAAAAGCCUACCAAGGCGACGAUCCAUAGCUGGUCUGAGAGGCUGAUCAGCCACACUGGGACUGAGACACGGCCCAGACUCCUACGGGAGGCAGCAGUGGGGAAUAUUGGACAGUGGGCGAAAGCCUGAUCCAGCAAUGCCGCGUGAGUGAUGAAGGCCUUAGGGUUGUAAAGCUCUUUUACCCGGGAUGAUAAUGACAGUACCGGGAGAAUAAGCUCCGGCUAACUCCGUG
RNAcentral lists this ribosomal RNA (434 nucleotides) under uncultured bacterium. RNAcentral describes it as "partial 16S ribosomal RNA". It matches the Rfam family "Bacterial small subunit ribosomal RNA", at positions 27 to 507 of the family's 1533-position model. The record is from RNAcentral.